UGGUCCUUAUUUAUAGUUUGGGGGUGGAGGCAACCCCACUUCCUUGAUAUGAUUGCUCCUGCUGGGGGAGUGACCUCAUCUUGGGUGGUCUGUAAGGCCCUGCUUUUCUUGGAAUCCGAGGUGAUUGCACACUUAGGACAACGACUGGAGAAUUCCAGGCAUCACUCCAGGGGUUCCGGAAAUGGAUUUCUGAAAGCUGGCAAUUAGGUGUCAGUGCAAAUCCUGAAAAUUAGUUGCUCUUGUGUUGGUCUUCUUAACCUUGAAAGGGCAUGGGAUAGUUCAGGUAAAGUUAGGGUAGAAAAUCUUGGAUUACAAGUUGUUGAGAUACUCCUUAGGUGAUCAACAAUCAAAAUCAGCCCCAUUUUCCUUCAGAGUUGGAACUGUUCGCCAUUUCUUUAAUUCAUACCUGGCUUGCAAUGCUAGGGGUCUACGGUGUGUAUAAAGUUGUAUAUUUCUAAGCCAGCACUCUUUCCUAGAAUUUUCUGCAGUGAUGGAAGUGUUCCUUAUCUAUGCUGUGGCUAUACAGUGCUUGAAAUGUAGCUAGAGACUGAGGAACUGAAUAUUUUAUUUGAAUAAACUUAAAUAAAUUUAAAUAAUUAUAUGUAGUUACUAUGUUAGACACGGCGAUUCUAAAAAUUAGAGGCCUGCUGAGAACUGGGCGUGUGGUAGGUUCUCCCCAGAUUCAGACUGCAGAAAUAAGAGGCAGGAGUGCCUCCCUCCUCCACGGGCCCGGCCUGUGGGAUCUGCACUGUUUCAGCAGAGGUAGAGACAGAAACUCUUGCAUCAUUUUAUUUUAUUUUAUUUCAUUUCAUUUGGUUUUUGGAGACAGAGUCUCACUAUAUAGUUCAGACUGACCUUGAACUCACUAUGCAGCGCAGGGGUGCAGCAAUCGUCCUGCUUCAGUCUCCUGAGUGCUGGGAUUAUAGUAUUGGUGAUAAAAAGAGGGCCUCAGCACUGACCCAUUACUUCACGUACCCUCACACUUUUUGAGAGUCUUAUUCAGUUGCCAGGCUGAACUGAGACUUUCGAUCAUCCUGCCUCGGCCUCGCAGCUUUCAGAGCCUUUCAAGCCACAGCACUGCAUGCCUCUGGGAGCAGGAGUGCUGCUUUCCUGGCUCCCUCAUGAUUUGAAGAACCAUAGUUUGCCUGCUAGUUUCUGACACUUCCUGGACAUGAUUCACAGCAUUGUUAUUGAAGACUCGUUUCUGAAGAUGCCUUGGGUGUCUGCCUCCUCUGACACAUGAUCUUCCACAAGGAAGACUUGUAUAGACCUGGCAGUGACAUCUCAGUGAAAAUGGCUCUUUCUUUUCUUCUGCUGACAUAACAUUUAUGUUAUUUAUUUGCAUCGCUUGUCACUAAUGGAUGAAGUAGUUCUCAGAAGAUGGCAUAACACAGUGGUCUAAAUUCCUAGAUUCAAUACUCUGAUUUUGCUUCAAGUCGUAUAAAUCUUUCAUUCUGUUAAAAUUCCUAGAUCCAGACAGACUUGGUUCUACCAUGUGCUAGUUGUUUGACUCUGGGCAAGCUGUCAAAUCUUGCUAUGUUUGACAUUCUCAUUUAUAAAGAGGCAUGAUAAUAAUAACUUUCGCUUAGGAUUUUUUUUAUGAGGAUUAAACAAAUGUAAAAAUGCUUAACAAGUCCCACAAAAUUAGUCUCUCUGCAGAUAUUAGCUGUCAUAUUUGUUGCUAUUGUUUUCAUCAUUGUCAGUGCCUUUGGGACCUCCCUGUGACAACUGGCAGUCGAACAUCUGAGAAUGCAACUGAGGCACGGUGGUGCACUUCUGUAAUUCCAGUUCUCUGAGAGCGAAGGUCAUAAACUUGGGCCCUGUGUAGUCAACUCAGCAAGUUAGCAAGACUCUAUUUAACAAUAAAAAUAUUGAGGAUGUAGCUCAAUGCAAAGGCCUUGAGUUUAAUCUGAGAGAGAGAGAGAGAGAGAGAGAGAGAGACAGAGACAGACAGAGAGAGAGAGAAAAGAGUCAGAGACACAGAGACAGGUUAUGGAUGUGCGAGCUAUACCAAAAUAAAACCUCUAAUUCUGCUAAUCAUCUCAUUCUGGGUUCUAGUCUCCCUAGACCAGGGACAGCCGAACCACUGAACUUGUUUUGAGCAUAUUCAGGACUUCUAAUUCCUUCAGGGGAUGUACUUUAUCAACCCCUACUCUCUGUGUAAGUUGACAGAAGGAGAGCUCAAUAGGUGGCCUUAAAUACACUCUGAUGCAUUCCCGAUUCUCAAUAAAUACCUGUUGAAUAUUGACCAAGCAUUUAGCUGUUCAUGGUUUGGGGCACAAAGCUUACAUUUCACAUAUUCCUUUCUAUUUUGAUUGACUUCCUCCUUUUUUUGAAAGUAU
Long non-coding RNA from Cavia porcellus (domestic guinea pig), 2342 nucleotides. RefSeq lists it as uncharacterized. The record is from RefSeq and is a predicted model, not a curated record. NCBI's taxonomy places the organism in Eukaryota, Metazoa, Chordata, Mammalia, Rodentia, Caviidae. The transcript has 4 exons.